This 19-nucleotide ribosomal RNA is filed under the name Hanseniaspora guilliermondii. RNAcentral describes it as "partial 5.8S ribosomal RNA". Lineage: Eukaryota; Fungi; Ascomycota; Saccharomycetes; Saccharomycodales; Saccharomycodaceae. The record is from RNAcentral.
UGUAACUUUCAACAACCGA